CCUGGUGUUCGUGAUGACUGAUCUUUUUUCCCCAACAGAUCGACCCUGUUGACUGCUCUGAAAAUUAAGCCAAAAUAUCUGAAACACCAGC
Molecule: small nucleolar RNA, 91 nt
Organism: Conger conger (European conger)
Lineage: Eukaryota; Metazoa; Chordata; Actinopteri; Anguilliformes; Congridae
Product: small nucleolar SNORD12/SNORD106
Exons: 1
Source: RefSeq, a predicted model, not a curated record